GUGAAUCAUCGAAUUUUUGAACGCAAAUUGCACUCUCCUCGGAGAGUAUGCCUGUUUGAGGGUCAGCCUAUAAAAAAUCGACAUCGUUGCUGUUUCGCGGUGGCGUUCGUCGGAAAUUGGGUCAUCUUAAAUCCUUUUGUUUUAGGCGACUUAAAUUUUUCUUUUGUUUCCUUGAACGUUUCUAGGAUCUAUUUCUUUACACGUUUAGGUUAUCGAUUUUUAUUGGACU
This 229-nucleotide unclassified non-coding RNA is filed under the name Glomeraceae sp. RNAcentral describes it as "partial contains 5.8S ribosomal RNA and internal transcribed spacer 2". The stretch from base 1 to 65 matches the Rfam family "5.8S ribosomal RNA", at positions 84 to 154 of the family's 154-position model. Lineage: Eukaryota; Fungi; Glomeromycota; Glomeromycetes; Glomerales; Glomeraceae. The record is from RNAcentral.